CGCGGUGUUGAUUCCUUUGGCAGAGCGGUGUCUACGCCUCUUCGACAUCCGUGCCUGAAGUAGUUUCUGGAGUUCAUCUAUUCAUGCAUCGACGGCAGUUUGGAGGACGAGCAUGCAAUUGUAGGUGCAUGGAGAUUUGAGAGUCCAAUUUCCAUGGACGUAUGUCUUCUAAUACUUCAAUUAUAGCUUUCCUUCAUUUGCUGCUGUGGGAGGAGUUGCUUUUGCUUAUGUUUUGUGUCAUUUGAUGAGUAAUGGUUGACUUAAUCAUCUUACGAUGUUUAGUGCACACGUGCGGGGCGCGUCGUCUGUUAUGUCGAAGACAGUUAACAAGUUUGUUAACAUGAUGCUAUGUACUUACAAGUUCUUGAAGGGCCAAGCAGUGCGUUUGCAAUUUUAGUUGGCUUAACGUUAUACUCUGGACUUAUCAACGGGAUUUAAUCUGCGUACUCUGAUUUACUUUUGUUACUUGCCUGUAGCAUAGUGUUAGGUUCAUCUAACCAAAUUUAGAUAUAUUUCCAAUAUUCAUCAGUAUAGAAUGCAUGAAGAUAGUUGUUGCUUUAGACAUUGAUACUUUCUUUAAAGAAAUCCCUACAGUCUUCAUAAAGUUGAGGUAUAUGUAUUAUCUUAUGUUCAGUUUAUGAGAGCAUGCUUAAGAUGGGUGGUUUAGUAUUCAGUCUAAUGCUUCCAUGAUUGUCGACCAAGGAAAUUCUAAGACCUUUGCAUAUGUUUUACAUGAGUUACCCUGUAGAUAUGUUAUGAUUAUAAGAGUUUCAAUUAUACAACUGUACGAACCCAUCAUGGAUAAUGUCAUAGCUUUGAUGAAUCAAGUUUUUUUGUGAAUGGAGUUGAGAUAUAACUUCAGUCAGUAUAUUUACAUUUGAUUUUCUGUUGGAUACAGAGGAGGUGAAGUCCAAGUGUCCAAAGAUUACAUACGUAGAUCUAUACCAGCUAGCAGGAGUUGUUGCAGUAGAAGUCACUAGAGGUCCCACUGUCGACUUUGUUCCCGGAAGAAAGG
Molecule: long non-coding RNA, 1015 nt
Organism: Syzygium oleosum
Lineage: Eukaryota; Viridiplantae; Streptophyta; Magnoliopsida; Myrtales; Myrtaceae
Exons: 3
Source: RefSeq, a predicted model, not a curated record